Non-coding RNA from Cordylochernes scorpioides, 74 nucleotides. The record is from the annotation of a GenBank genome assembly. Lineage: Eukaryota; Metazoa; Arthropoda; Arachnida; Pseudoscorpiones; Chernetidae.
UGACCAGGGAUGGGAAUCGAACCCACAAUGUUCCGCUUACCGGGCAGAUGCCAUGUCCACUAGGCUACCCUGCC